Molecule: ribosomal RNA, 253 nt
Filed under: uncultured bacterium
Lineage: Bacteria
Description: partial 16S ribosomal RNA
Rfam family: Bacterial small subunit ribosomal RNA
Source: RNAcentral
UACGUAGGGGGCAAGCGUUGUCCGGAUUUAUUGGGCGUAAAGAGCGUGUAGGCGGCUAGGUAGGUCCGUUGUGAAAACUCGAGGCUCAACCUCGAGACGUCGAUGGAAACCAUCUAGCUAGAGUCCGGAAGAGGAGAGUGGAAUUCCUGGUGUAGCGGUGAAAUGCGCAGAUAUCAGGAAGAACACCGAUAGCGAAGGCAGCUCGCUGGGACGGUACUGACGCUAAGGCGCGAAAGCGUGGGGAGCGAACAGG